AGUAACUCGCUCGGGUCCCCUUCCGGAUUGUGGAAACUUUGUUCUUUCGCUGUAUGUAAUAACUCUUGCUACUGUAGCUCGCUUUUUGGGUCUACGCUGCUUCUAUAAGCUGUAACAUUCACAGGGAAGAUCUGCAGCUUCACUCCUGAGACCACGAGCCCACUGGAAAGAACAAACAACUCCCGAAGUGCUACCUUAUAGAGCUAUAACACUCACCGCGAAGGUCUGCAGCUUCACUCCUGAGCCAGGGAGACCACAAACCCACCAGAAGGAAAAAACUCCGAAUACAUCUGAACAUCAGGAGGGACAGACUCCAGACGGGCCACCUGAAAAGCUGUAACACUCACCGUGAGGGUCCGGGGCUUCAUUCUUGAAGUUAGUGAGACCAAGAACCCACCAAUUCGGGACACACUUGGACCAUCCGCUUCCCAGGAAGCGUCAGCCCUGGGGUGCCCAUGCCCAGAAGCCCACUCCAGCCCUGAUAGUCGCCUCCCAGCUGAGCCAGGAACCUGGGGCUGAGCUCCAUCCUCAACCUUAAAAACUUGUCAUCUCACCUGUCCCGAGGAUGUGCGGUACCUGCCCUACUUCUACCAUCCUCACCCUACUCUUUUCCUGGGCUAGCGUUAUGAUGUCUAAACCUAUCUAUCAUCCCGUUCUGUGCUCUGUAUAUUCAUUUUCCACAUAACGUAAAAUGUAGGUCUGGCUAAGCCCCCUCCACAUGGACAACGUGGGCCCUACUCUCCACAGACUCCAGCCACCUGCGACCCCUUCUGCCUCAUGCUACGUGUGAUCACAGCCUUUUCUCCUGUUGCUAUCCUGACCGAGAUGCUCCUCUAACAAGCUUGUCCACCCUUUCACACCCCUCAGCACACGCCCUGGCUUCAUAUGGCCGCCUGGUACCCUCCCUGCCGUUUCUGCCCAGAUCUGUUCUGUGCCCAGCAGGUGUUAUUGGCUUCAUCUACUUGCAGGUCUGUCCUUACUAACUGGAACACCCCCGAGGGCAGGAACGGUUUACCCCAGCAUGGAGCACAGUUCCGGGGCCCUAGGAGGAGCUCAGAGGACCUGUGGGAAAUGUUCCCAUGGGCAAUGACUCCCUGAAUGUAACGUCGUAUGUCACCUUGGAGGGAAAGACCCCAUAAAAACCUAAUCAUAUUCAAGGGAAAGGAGCUUGGCUUUCCUGGGUACAGCCUAAUGGUGUUGGUGACUGGGGUAGGAAGGGGACUCAGCUUCUAUUGUAUCAUGUUCUCGUCGAUUCCUCCUUAUCCUGACUGUGAGCCCGAGAGGGCAGGGACCAAGGUCCUAAUGUAUCCCAGCGGAGCGUACACAUAGUAGGUACCUACGUCGUGUUGGUUGACUGAAAGUCUUCUCACCCAGCAGGAGGCAGGCAGUGAUGAGGGGACC
This is a long non-coding RNA of Homo sapiens (human), 1401 nucleotides long. RefSeq lists it as uncharacterized. Lineage: Eukaryota; Metazoa; Chordata; Mammalia; Primates; Hominidae. The transcript is spliced from 3 exons. The record is from RefSeq and is a predicted model, not a curated record.